GAACGAGGAUAUAUCCUUCGGGAUGUAAGCCGAGUGGCACAAGGGUGAGCAAUGCAUAGAUUACCUACCUUUAGGAUAAGGGCAACUUUGUGAAAACGGAGCUAAUACUUAAUAAUACAAAAGAAAAUAAUUUUCUUUUGUCAAAGGGAGGGUAGCAAUACCUUUCGCCUAGAGAGGGGUUUAUGUCCUAUCAGCUUGUUGGUGGGGUAAUAGCCCACCAAGGCGAAGACGGGUAGCCGGUUUAAGAGGAUGGUCGGCCACACUGGGACUGAGACACUGCCCAGACUUCUACGGAAGGCUGCAGUCGAGAAUCUUUCGCAAUGCCCGAAAGGGUGACGAAGCGACGCCGCGUGGGUGAAGAAGGCCUUCGGGUUGUAAAGCCCUGUCAGGAGUUAUGAAAUGUAAGUGCGCUAAUAUCGUGCUUAUUUGACAAAGGCUCCAAAGGAAGCCACGGCUAACUCUGUGCCAGCAGCCGCGGUAAUACAGAGGUGGCGAGCGUUGUUCGGAAUUAUUGGGCGUAAAGAGCACGUAGGUGGGUUUGCAAGUCAGAUGUGAAAGCCUUCUGUUCAACGGAAGAAUUGCAUCUGAAACUGCUAAUCUUGAGUAUAGGAGGGGAGAAUGGAACUUCUGGUGGAGCGGUGAAAUGCGUAGAUAUCAGAAGGAACGCCGGCGGCGAAAGCGAUUCUCUGGCCUAUUACUGACACUCAGUGUGCGAAAGCUAGGGGAGCAAACGGGAUUAGAUACCCCGGUAGUCCUAGCCGUAAACGAUGGGCACUAAGUAGAGGGAAUUACCUAUAUUCUCUCUGCCGUAGCUAACGCAUUAAGUGCCCCGCCUGGGGAGUACGGCCGCAAGGCUAAAACUCAAAAGAAUUGACGGGGGCUCGCACAAGCGGUGGAGCAUGUGGCUUAAUUCGAUGCAACGCGAAAAACCUUACCGGGGCUUGACAUGAUAGAAGUAGGAACCUGAAAGGGGGACGAACGGUAUCCAGUCCGUAGCUAUCACAGGUGUUGCAUGGCUGUCGUCAGCUCGUGUCGUGAGACGUUGGGUUAAGUCCCCUAACGAGCGAAACCCUUGUUUUUAGUUACCAGCGGGUUAUGCCGGGUACUCUAGAAAGACUGCCGUCGUCAAGACGGAGGAAGGUGGGGAUGACGUCAAGUCAUCAUGGCCCUUAUGCCCCGGGCUGCACACGUGCUACAAUGGUCGGUACAGACGGAAGCGAAGCCGAGAGGUGAAGCGAAUCCUAAAAAGCCGAUCUCAGUUCGGAUUGGAGGCUGAAAUUCGCCUCCAUGAAGUUGGAAUCGCUAGUAAUCGCGGAUCAGCAAUGUCGCGGUGAAUAUGUUCCCGAGCCUUGUACACACCGCCCGUCAAGCCACCCAAGCAGGAUGCACCCGAAAACAUUAUAUCUAACCAGGGCAACUUGGAGGAAAAUGUUGAAGGAGUGUUUUGUGAGGAGGACU
This 1458-nucleotide ribosomal RNA is filed under the name uncultured anaerobic ammonium-oxidizing bacterium. Its description in RNAcentral is "bacterial SSU rRNA". It matches the Rfam family "Bacterial small subunit ribosomal RNA". The record is from RNAcentral.